This 497-nucleotide ribosomal RNA is filed under the name uncultured bacterium. RNAcentral describes it as "partial 16S ribosomal RNA". It matches the Rfam family "Bacterial small subunit ribosomal RNA", at positions 28 to 507 of the family's 1533-position model. The record is from RNAcentral.
GAUGAACGCUGGCGGCGUGCCUAAUACAUGCAAGUCGAGCGAACAGACGAGGAGCUUGCUCCUCUGACGUUAGCGGCGGACGGGUGAGUAACACGUGGAUAACCUACCUAUAAGACUGGGAUAACUUCGGGAAACCGGAGCUAAUACCGGAUCAUAUAUUGAACCGCAUUGUUCAAUAGUGAAAGACGGUUUUGCUGUCACUUAUAGAUGUAUCCGCGCCGCAUUAGCUAGUUGGUAAGGUAACGGCUUACCAAGGCAACGAUGCGUAGCCGACCUGAGAGGGUGAUCGGCCACACUGGAACUGAGACACGGUCCAGACUCCUACGGGAGGCAGCAGUAGGGAAUCUUCCGCAAUGGGCGAAAGCCUGACGGAGCAACGCCGCGUGAGUGAUGAAGGUCUUCGGAUCGUAAAACUCUGUUAUUAGGGAAGAACAAAUGUGUAAGUAACUAUGCACGUCUUGACGGUACCUAAUCAGAAAGCCACGGCUAACUACGUG